Molecule: ribosomal RNA, 847 nt
Filed under: Salmonella enterica
Lineage: Bacteria; Pseudomonadati; Pseudomonadota; Gammaproteobacteria; Enterobacterales; Enterobacteriaceae
Description: partial 23S ribosomal RNA
Rfam family: Bacterial large subunit ribosomal RNA
Source: RNAcentral
CUGAGUAGCGGCGAGCGAAACGGAAUUAGCCCAAACCAAGAGGCUUGCCUCUUGGGGUUGUAGGACACUCUAUACGGAGUUACAAAGGAACGAAGUAAAUGAAGCGACCUGGAAAGGUCCGUCGAAGAAGGUAACAACCCUGUAGUUGAAACUUCGUUCCCUCUUGAGUGGAUCCUGAGUACGGCGGAACACGUGAAAUUCCGUCGGAAGCUGGGAGGACCAUCUCCCAAGGCUAAAUACUACCUAGUGACCGAUAGUGAACCAGUACCGUGAGGGAAAGGUGAAAAGCACCCCGGAAGGGGAGUGAAAGAGAUCCUGAAACCGUGUGCCUACAAGUAGUCAGAGCCCGUUAAUGGGUGAUGGCGUGCCUUUUGUAGAAUGAACCGGCGAGUUACGAUCCCAUGCAAGGUUAAGCUGAUAAGGCGGAGCCGUAGCGAAAGCGAGUCUGAAUAGGGCGUUUAGUAUGUGGUUGUAGACCCGAAACCAGGUGAUCUACCCAUGUCCAGGGUGAAGUUCAGGUAACACUGAAUGGAGGCCCGAACCCACGCACGUUGAAAAGUGCGGGGAUGAGGUGUGGGUAGCGGAGAAAUUCCAAUCGAACCUGGAGAUAGCUGGUUCUCUCCGAAAUAGCUUUAGGGCUAGCCUCAUGUUGUGAGAGUCUUGGAGGUAGAGCACUGAUUGGACUAGGGGCCCCCAACGGGUUACCGAAUUCAGUCAAACUCCGAAUGCCAAAGACUUAUCCAUGGGAGUCAGACUGCGAGUGAUAAGAUCCGUAGUCAAAAGGGAAACAGCCCAGACCACCAGCUAAGGUCCCCAAGUAUACGUUAAGUGGAAAAGGAUGUGGAGU